RNAcentral lists this ribosomal RNA (429 nucleotides) under uncultured bacterium. RNAcentral describes it as "bacterial SSU rRNA". It matches the Rfam family "Bacterial small subunit ribosomal RNA", at positions 355 to 801 of the family's 1533-position model. The record is from RNAcentral.
UCGGGAAUUUUGGGCAAUGGGCGAAAGCCUGACCCAGCAACGCCGCGUGAAGGAUGAAGUAUUUCGGUAUGUAAACUUCGAAAGAAUAGGAAGAAUAAAUGACGGUACUAUUUAUAAGGUCCGGCUAACUACGUGCCAGCAGCCGCGGUAAUACGUAGGGACCAAGCGUUGUUCGGAUUUACUGGGCGUAAAGGGCGCGUAGGCGGCAUGACAAGUCACUUGUGAAAUCUCUGGGCUUAACCCAGAACGGCCAAGUGAUACUGUCGCGCUAGAGUGCAGAAGGGGCAAUCGGAAUUCUUGGUGUAGCGGUGAAAUGCGUAGAUAUCAAGAGGAACACCUGAGGUGAAGACGGGUUGCUGGGCUGACACUGACGCUGAGGCGCGAAAGCCAGGGGAGCAAACGGGAUUAGAUACCCUAGUAGUCCCUGAG